RNAcentral lists this ribosomal RNA (472 nucleotides) under uncultured bacterium. Its description in RNAcentral is "bacterial SSU rRNA". It matches the Rfam family "Bacterial small subunit ribosomal RNA", at positions 39 to 524 of the family's 1533-position model. The record is from RNAcentral.
GCGGCGUGCUUACCAUGCNAGUCGAACGAUGACGACCGUGCUUGCACGGUCUGAUUAGUGGCGAACGGGUGAGUAACACGUGAGUAACCUGCCCUCCACUUCGGGAUAACCUCGGGAAAUCGUGGCUAAUACCGGAUAUGAAUCCUUGUCGCAUGGCGGGGGUUGGAAAGAUUUAUCGGUGGGGGAUGGACUCGCGGCCUAUCAGUUUGUUGGUGAGGUAAUGGCUCACCAAGACGAUGACGGGUAGCCGACCUGAGAGGGCGACCGGCCACACUGGGACUGAGACACGGCCCAGACUCCUACGGGAGGCAGCAGUGGGGAAUAUUGCACAAUGGGCGAAAGCCUGAUGCAGCGACGCCGCGUGAGGGAUGACGGCCUUCGGGUUGUAAACCUCUUUCAGUAGGGAAGAAGCGAAAGUGACGGUACCUGCAGAAGAAGCGCCGGCUAACUACGUGCCAGCAGCCGCGGUAAU